Molecule: ribosomal RNA, 243 nt
Filed under: uncultured bacterium
Lineage: Bacteria
Description: partial 16S ribosomal RNA
Rfam family: Bacterial small subunit ribosomal RNA
Source: RNAcentral
UACGUAGGUGGCAAGCGUUGUCCGGAUUUACUGGGUGUAAAGGGCGUGCAGCCGGAGAGACAAGUCAGAUGUGAAAUCCACGGGCUCAACCCGUGAACUGCAUUUGAACUGUUUCCCUUGAGUGUCGGAGAGGUAAUCGGAAUUCCUUGUGUAGCGGUGAAAUGCGUAGAUAUAAGGAAGAACACCAGUGGCGAAGGCGGAUUACUGGACGAUAACUGACGCUGAAGCACGAAAGCGUGGGUA